This is a non-coding RNA of Pseudonaja textilis, 128 nucleotides long. The record is from RefSeq and is a predicted model, not a curated record. Lineage: Eukaryota; Metazoa; Chordata; Lepidosauria; Squamata; Elapidae.
AGCUGCUUGAGAUCAGUAUUGUUAAAUAAAAAUUAAAAACUCUAGGCUUUAUUUUAGCAGUUUAAGUACAAGCUUUGCCAACUAACUAUGCAAUGUGAAUUAUGUUUUUACCAAUCUUAGACUGUGAA